This 471-nucleotide ribosomal RNA is filed under the name uncultured organism. RNAcentral's name for it is "partial 16S ribosomal RNA". It matches the Rfam family "Bacterial small subunit ribosomal RNA", at positions 334 to 797 of the family's 1533-position model. The record is from RNAcentral.
CACUCCUGCGGGAGGCAGCAGUGGGGAAUAUUGCACAAUGGGCGCAAGCCUGAUGCAGCCAUGCCGCGUGUAUGAAGAAGGCCUUCGGGUUGUAAAGUACUUUCAGCGGGGAGGAAGGCGAUAAGGUUAAUAACCUUGUUGAUUGACGUUACCCGCAGAAGAAGCACCGGCUAACUCCGUGCCAGCAGCCGCGGUAAUACGGAGGGUGCAAGCGUUAAUCGGAAUUACUGGGCGUAAAGCGCACGCAGGCGGUCUGUCAAGUCGGAUGUGAAAUCCCCGGGCUCAACCUGGGAACUGCAUUCGAAACUGGCAGGCUAGAGUCUUGUAGAGGGGGGUAGAAUUCCAGGUGUAGCGGUGAAAUGCGUAGAGAUCUGGAGGAAUACCGGUGGCGAAGGCGGCCCCCUGGACAAAGACUGACGCUCAGGUGCGAAAGCGUGGGGAGCAAACAGGAUUAGAAACCCGUGUAGUCCC